GAGUUUGAUCCUGGCUCAGGAUGAACGCUAGCGACAGGCUUAACACAUGCAAGUCGAGGGGCAGCACGGGUAGCAAUACCCGCCGGCGACCGGCGCACGGGUGAGUAACGCGUAUGCAACUUACCUAUCAGAGGGGGAUAACCCGGCGAAAGUCGGACUAAUACCGCAUGAAGCAGGGGCCCCGCAUGGGGAUAUUUGCUAAAGAUUCAUCGCUGAUAGAUAGGCAUGCGUUCCAUUAGGCAGUUGGCGGGGUAACGGCCCACCAAACCGACGAUGGAUAGGGGUUCUGAGAGGAAGGUCCCCCACAUUGGUACUGAGACACGGACCAAACUCCUACGGGAGGCAGCAGUGAGGAAUAUUGGUCAAUGGGCGUAAGCCUGAACCAGCCAAGUCGCGUGAGGGAUGAAGGUUCUAUGGAUCGUAAACCUCUUUUAUAAGGGAAUAAAGUGCGGGACGUGUCCCGUUUUGUAUGUACCUUAUGAAUAAGGAUCGGCUAACUCCGUGCCAGCAGCCGCGGUAAUACGGAGGAUCCGAGCGUUAUCCGGAUUUAUUGGGUUUAAAGGGUGCGUAGGCGGCCUUUUAAGUCAGCGGUGAAAGUCUGUGGCUCAACCAUAGAAUUGCCGUUGAAACUGGGAGGCUUGAGUAUGUUUGAGGCAGGCGGAAUGCGUGGUGUAGCGGUGAAAUGCUUAGAUAUCACGCAGAACCCCGAUUGCGAAGGCAGCCUGCCAAGCCAUGACUGACGCUGAUGCACGAAAGCGUGGGGAUCAAACAGGAUUAGAUACCCUGGUAGUCCACGCAGUAAACGAUGAUCACUAGCUGUUUGCGAUACACUGUAAGCGGCACAGCGAAAGCGUUAAGUGAUCCACCUGGGGAGUACGCCGGCAACGGUGAAACUCAAAGGAAUUGACGGGGGCCCGCACAAGCGGAGGAACAUGUGGUUUAAUUCGAUGAUACGCGAGGAACCUUACCCGGGUUUGAACGCAUUUCGACCGCUCUGGAAACAGAGCCUCUAGCAAUAGCGAUUUGCGAGGUGCUGCAUGGUUGUCGUCAGCUCGUGCCGUGAGGUGUCGGCUUAAGUGCCAUAACGAGCGCAACCCUUGCCACUAGUUACUAACAGGUAAAGCUGAGGACUCUGGUGGGACUGCCAGCGUAAGCUGCGAGGAAGGCGGGGAUGACGUCAAAUCAGCACGGCCCUUACAUCCGGGGCGACACACGUGUUACAAUGGCGUGGACAAAGGGAAGCCACCUGGCGACAGGGAGCGAAUCCCCAAACCACGUCUCAGUUCGGAUCGGAGUCUGCAACCCGACUCCGUGAAGCUGGAUUCGCUAGUAAUCGCGCAUCAGCCAUGGCGCGGUGAAUACGUUCCCGGGCCUUGUACACACCGCCCGUCAAGCCAUGGGAGCCGGGGGUACCUGAAGUCCGUAACCGCGAGGAUCGGCCUAGGGUAAAACUGGUGACUGGGGCUAAGUCGUAACAAGGUAGCCGUACCGGAAGGUGCGGCUGGAACACC
Molecule: ribosomal RNA, 1511 nt
Filed under: Parabacteroides distasonis str. 3776 D15 i
Lineage: Bacteria; Pseudomonadati; Bacteroidota; Bacteroidia; Bacteroidales; Tannerellaceae
Description: bacterial SSU rRNA
Rfam family: Bacterial small subunit ribosomal RNA
Source: RNAcentral